GCUCAAAUUUGAAAUCCGGUACCUUUGGUGCCUGACUUGUAAUUUGGAGAGACAAAUUUGGUCGACAGCGCUGGCCUAGGUUCCUUUGAACAGGACAACACAGAGGGUCAGAAUACCGUGCAUGGUCGGAAUUGCUGUCACAUUGCUAAAUUGUCUUCGACGAGUCGAGUUGUUUGGGAAUGCAGCUCAAAAUGGGUGGUAAAUGUCAUCUAAAGCUAAAUAUUGGCGAGAGACCGAUAGCGCACAAGUAGAGUGAUCGAAAGAUGAAAAGCACUUUGAAAAGAGAGUCAAAAAGUACGUGAAAUUGCUGAAAGGGAAGCGCUUGAGACCAGACUCGAACCGCGGUGAUCAGCCGCGCUUCUGUGCGGAGUAACUUGCCGUGGUUUGGGCCAGCAUCGGUUCCGGCGGUCGGAUNNNNNNGUGGAGGAAUGUAGCUUCCUCCGGGGAGUGUUAANNNNNCGACCACCACAAUGCGGCCAGCUGGGACCGAGGAUCGCGCUGUACUUCUCGU
RNAcentral lists this ribosomal RNA (511 nucleotides) under uncultured Genea. RNAcentral's name for it is "partial 28S ribosomal RNA". It matches the Rfam family "Eukaryotic large subunit ribosomal RNA", at positions 107 to 617 of the family's 3401-position model. The record is from RNAcentral. Lineage: Eukaryota; Fungi; Ascomycota; Pezizomycetes; Pezizales; Pyronemataceae.